CUCUAUUUUGGUCAUUGGGUCCGUGGCUGUGAUACUGGCAUUGAUUGGAACCCUGCUUUACUUCUUUCUUCGAGCCCGUCGUCGGAGGGAGAGGAUGUCUACUCAGACCAUAAACACACCUACGUUAUAUGAGAAUCUUCCCCCGCCUGGACAGAUCAAGGCUGGAAAUGCCUCUGCUGACAACAACAUAUACCAGUCCCUGCAGCCAGAAAGCCAAAACGUAUAUGAAGAACUGAUGAGGUAACAGGUGAACCCAUUAACUACUAACCUCUCCUAAC
This is a long non-coding RNA of Elgaria multicarinata webbii, 278 nucleotides long. RefSeq lists it as uncharacterized. The record is from RefSeq and is a predicted model, not a curated record. The transcript is spliced from 4 exons. NCBI's taxonomy places the organism in Eukaryota, Metazoa, Chordata, Lepidosauria, Squamata, Anguidae.